This 1710-nucleotide ribosomal RNA is filed under the name Triticum aestivum (bread wheat). Its description in RNAcentral is "partial small subunit ribosomal RNA". The record is from RNAcentral. Lineage: Eukaryota; Viridiplantae; Streptophyta; Magnoliopsida; Poales; Poaceae.
GAGCGCCUCGAGCGCCUCACCUCAAGCAUUGGCAAGAUGGGCGUCGCCAUCGCGGUGCUCGUCUUCACCGUGCUCACUGCGCGCCACUUCACCGGCAGCACCAAGGACGAGCAAGGCAAGCCGCUGUUCAACAAGGGCCACGUCACCUUCGACUCCGUGUUCAGCUUCCUCGUCGUCAUUUUCCAGCAGGCCGUCACCAUCAUCGUCGUCGCCAUCCCCGAGGGCCUCCCGCUCGCCAUGAUGCUGACGCUCGCCUUCUCCAUGAAGAGGAUGGUGAAGGAGAACGCGCGGGUGCGCCGCCUGUCGGCGUGCGAGACAAUGGGGUCAGUCACAGCCAUCUGCACCGACAAGACCGGAACGCUGACGCUCAACCAGAUGAAGGUGAUCGAGUUUUGGGUCGGCACCGACAAGCCCAGAGGUGCCACGGCGAUCGCCGGGAGCGUUGUUACCUUGCUUUGCCAGGGAGCUGCGCUCAACACCAUGGGAAGCGUUUACAAGCCGGACAACGUGUCGCCGCCGGAGAUAACAGGCAGCCCGACGGAGAAGGCGCUGCUGUCGUGGGCCGUAGCGGACCUCGGCAUGGACGCCGACGCGUUGAAGAGGAGCUGCAAGGUGCUGCACGUCGAGGUCUUCAACUUGGACAAGAAGCGCAGCGGCAUGAUGAUCAAGGACAACGCUACCGGCGCGGUGGUCGCACACUGGAAAGGCGCCGCGGAGAUGGUGCUGGCGAACUGCUCGAUGUACGUGGACACGGACGGGGCGCGCCAACUCAGGGUGGAGCAGAGGAGAAACCUCGAGAAGGUGAUCAACGACAUGGCCUCCAGCCUCCGGUGCAUCGCCUUUGCCUACAAGCAACUCAACGGCACUGAGCAAUCAAAGAUCGACGACGACGGUCUGACAUUGCUGGGCUUCGUCGGGUUGAAAGACCCGUGCUGACCAGAGGUCAAGGCCGCCAUUGAAGCUUGCACCAAGGCAGGCGUCGCCGUCAAGAUGGUCACCGGCCAAAACAUCCUCACGGCCCGCGCGAUCGCCAAGGAAUGCGGCAUCAUAUCCAGCCAUGACCCCAACGGUAUCGUCAUCGAGGGGCACGAGUUCCGCGCCAUGUCGCCGGAGCAGCAGCUAGAGAUCGUGGACAGGAUCCGCGUCAUGGCGCGGUCCCUGCCGUUGGACAAGCUGGCGCUGGUGCAGCGGCUGAAGCAGAAGGGGCACGUGGUGGCCGUGACCGGUGAUGGCACGAACGACGCGCCGACGCGCAAGGAGGCGGACGUGGGGCUGUCCAUGGGCGUGCAGGGCACAAAGGUGGCCAAGGAGAGCUCGGACAUCAUCAUCCUCAACGACAACUUCGACAAGGUGGUGACGGCCACGCUGUGGGGGCGUUGCGUCUACAACAACAUGCAAAAGUUCAUCCAGUUCCAGCUCACCGUCAACGUGGCGGCGCUCGUCAUCAACUUCGUGUCCGUGAUCACCACGGGCAAGAUGCCGCUCACCACCGUGAAGCUCCUCUGGGUGAACCUGAUCAUGGACACCAUGGGCGCUCUCGCGUUCACCACGAACACGCCCACCAAGGCGCUCAUGGAUCGGCCGCACGGCGCCGCUCAUCAGCAACGCCAUGUGGCGCAACCUCGCCGCGCAGGCGGCGUUCCAGAUCGCCUUGCUGCUGGCGCUCCAGUACCGGGGCCGGGACGUCUUCGGCACCGACGAGAAGGGUAA